RNAcentral lists this ribosomal RNA (448 nucleotides) under uncultured bacterium. RNAcentral describes it as "bacterial SSU rRNA". It matches the Rfam family "Bacterial small subunit ribosomal RNA", at positions 330 to 794 of the family's 1533-position model. The record is from RNAcentral.
GCCAGACUCCUACGGGAGGCAGCAGUGGGGGAUAUUGCACAAUGGGGGAAACCCUGAUGCAGCGACGCCGCGUGAGUGAAGAAGUAUUUCGGUAUGUAAAGCUCUAUCAGCAGGGAAGAAAAAAGACGGUACCUGACUAAGAAGCCCCGGCUAACUACGUGCCAGCAGCCGCGGUAAUACGUAGGGGGCAAGCGUUAUCCGGAUUUACUGGGUGUAAAGGGAGCGUAGACGGCAAUACAAGUCGGAAGUGAAAUACCCGGGCUCAACCUGGGAACUGCUUUGGAAACUGUAUGGCUGGAGUGUUGGAGAGGUAAGCGGAAUUCCUAGUGUAGCGGUGAAAUGCGUAGAUAUUAGGAGGAACACCAGUGGCGAAGGCGGCUUACUGGACAGUAACUGACGUUGAGGCUCGAAAGCGUGGGGAGCAAACAGGAUUAGAUACCCCCGUAGA